This 531-nucleotide ribosomal RNA is filed under the name Triticum aestivum (bread wheat). RNAcentral's name for it is "partial small subunit ribosomal RNA". Lineage: Eukaryota; Viridiplantae; Streptophyta; Magnoliopsida; Poales; Poaceae. The record is from RNAcentral.
AUGGAGAGAUUUGUUGGGUGGACGCCGACAUCCUUGCCGUCGUCCGGUUGCAGGGUAGUUCUUACAAAAAGAGGCAAGCUGAAGAGGAAGGUUGCAAGAAGGAGAGCAACUGUGCAUUGUUAUGAUUGCCUCUUCCUCCUGUUGCUAAGUGUCACAAGCAAAAGGACCAAGUGCGGGCGGGUGAGCAUCAGGAGUCCAGUUGAUUGGCUUCGACCUUUGAGUUAUUGCUGGCUAGCAGUGCCACUUCUGAGCGUCUCCUCACCCCUCACNNNNNNNNNNNNNNNNNNNGUGGCACUUUUGCUUGUGUCUUGUUAUCUUUUCGAAAUGGUGAAGCUGACAAUGAUAGCCUGUAUCACUGAUGGCCUUUCAUUAGCGGAGUGCUUAGAUGGUGGUUAUGUUAAGGAUGUUGUCUUCUACAAGCAGCAAGCAAAAUUGUUGUUCAAAAACAUAUAUAAAGGCCAACAUGAAUCAUCAAGACUGUCAACUGAGACUGGACCACACCAUUCCAGGUUAAGGGGCGUAUGGCGGUGA